UACGAAGGGGGCUAGCGUUGUUCGGAAUUACUGGGCGUAAAGGGCGCGUAGGCGGUACCUCAAGUCAGGCGUGAAAGCCCCGGGCUCAACCUGGGAACCGCGCUUGAGACUGGAGAACUAGAGUUCGGGAGAGGAUGGUGGAAUUCCCAGUGUAGAGGUGAAAUUCGUAGAUAUUGGGAAGAACACCGAUGGCGAAGGCAGCCAUCUGGACCGACACUGACGCUGAGGCGCGAAGGCGUGGGGAGCGAACGGG
This 253-nucleotide ribosomal RNA is filed under the name uncultured bacterium. Its description in RNAcentral is "partial 16S ribosomal RNA". It matches the Rfam family "Bacterial small subunit ribosomal RNA", at positions 524 to 776 of the family's 1533-position model. The record is from RNAcentral.